UACAGAGGUCCCGAGCGUUGUUCGGAUUCACUGGGCGUAAAGGGUGCGUAGGUGGCGAGGUAAGUCGGAUGUGAAAGCUCGGAGCUCAACUCCGAAAUGGCAUUGGAAACUACCUUGCUCGAGGGUUGGAGGGGGGACUGGAAUUCUCGGUGUAGCAGUGAAAUGCGCAGAUAUCAGGAAGAACACCCGUGGCGAAGGCGGUUCUCUGGGACGGUACUGACGCUGAGACGCGAAAGCGUGGGGAGCGAACAGG
Molecule: ribosomal RNA, 253 nt
Filed under: uncultured bacterium
Lineage: Bacteria
Description: partial 16S ribosomal RNA
Rfam family: Bacterial small subunit ribosomal RNA
Source: RNAcentral